RNAcentral lists this non-coding RNA (30 nucleotides) under Homo sapiens (human). The record is from RNAcentral. Lineage: Eukaryota; Metazoa; Chordata; Mammalia; Primates; Hominidae.
GCACAGACAUAACAGGCCACCAGGUGCAGA